This 21-nucleotide non-coding RNA is filed under the name Caenorhabditis elegans. The record is from RNAcentral. Lineage: Eukaryota; Metazoa; Nematoda; Chromadorea; Rhabditida; Rhabditidae.
UUUAGUGGUCACUUUGGUGUA